This is a long non-coding RNA of Columba livia (rock pigeon), 742 nucleotides long. RefSeq lists it as uncharacterized. The transcript has 4 exons. The record is from RefSeq and is a predicted model, not a curated record. NCBI's taxonomy places the organism in Eukaryota, Metazoa, Chordata, Aves, Columbiformes, Columbidae.
AACAAAGGCGGAGAUUGGUCUCAACCCAUGGGAGUGAGGGGGGGUGAAGAAGCAUAAAAGACGAUUCUCAACUGGACAUCAUUAAGAUCUCCCCACCAGAGGAUCCCGAAUCACGACAGAGGGCCGGCAGGACUCUACGGGACCGGAGACCAGAAGGACGCCUUUGAGAGUCAUUUGGUGCAACCAGGGGAAAAGAGGAAGGCAGCGGCAGCAGGGACCGAGCAUCGUGCAGAGGAAAGCCCUGCAGCCACUCCAGUUCCAGCCCCACUCAUGGUUCCUUCAUCCUCUACAGCACCAUGAAGGUCCCUGCAGCUGCUCUGGUCACUUUGCUCCUCUUGGUCAUCUGCUCCCCGGCAGAGGUCCAACUCAAUGACAACUUCUUCAUGACCUGUUGCUUCAACUACGCGAGCCGUGCCGUCCCACGCAGUGUCAUUGUCUCCAUUAAAAACACCGAUAGCCGCUGCCGCAAGCCGGCAGUGAUCAUGGUCACCAAAAAGGGGAGGCACAUAUGUGCAGACCCCCAGGCAUCCUGGGUGCAGGCACUUCAGCGGGACUUCCAGAAGCGGUAGGCUCAGCCUCCAGCAUCAGACACAAAACAGAGUGCUUGAGCAGCAUCCUUCAACAGGAAGAUUUAUUCUACUUGUUUGUUACAAAAGUGAAAAUAAAAAAAUUAUUUAAGAGAUAUCAGCAUGCCUGUUAAUGUGGAGUUUUAAUUCCUAAAUAAAGUAUUUGGAUUAUCAAA